UUGGAGGGCAAGUCUGGUGCCAGCAGCCGCGGUAAUUCCAGCUCCAAUAGCGUAUAUUAAAGUUGUUGCAGUUAAAAAGCUCGUAGUUGAAUUUCGGGGUCAGUAGGUUGGUCGUGCCACUGGUAUGUACUGGUCUUACUGAUUCCUCCUUCCUGAUGAACCGUAAUGCCAUUAAUUUGGUGUUGCGGGGAGACUGGACUGUUACUUUGAAAAAAUUAGAGUGUUUAAAGCAGGCUAACGCUUGAAUACAUUAGCAUGGAAUAAUGAAAUAGGACGUUCGAUCCUAUUUUGUUGGUUUCUAGGAUUGACGUAAUGAUUAAUAGGGAUAGUUGGGGGCAUUAGUAUUCAAUUGUCAGAGGUGAAAUUCUUGGAUUUAUUGAAGACUAACUACUGCGAAAGCAUUUGCCAAGGAUGUUUUCAUUAAUCAAGAACGAAAGUUAGGGGAUCGAAGACGAUCAGAUACCGUCGUAGUCUUAACCAUAAACUAUGCCGACUAGGGAUCGGAUGAUGUUAAUUUUUUAAUGACUCAUUCGGCGCCUUACGGGAAAC
RNAcentral lists this ribosomal RNA (549 nucleotides) under uncultured Glomus. RNAcentral describes it as "SSU rRNA". It matches the Rfam family "Eukaryotic small subunit ribosomal RNA", at positions 548 to 1098 of the family's 1831-position model. The record is from RNAcentral. Lineage: Eukaryota; Fungi; Glomeromycota; Glomeromycetes; Glomerales; Glomeraceae.